CCUACGGGGUGCAGCAGUGGGGAAUAUUGCACAAUGGGCGCAAGCCUGAUGCAGCCAUGCCGCGUGUGUGAAGAAGGCCUUCGGGUUGUAAAGCACUUUCAGCGGGGAGGAAGGCGGUGAGGUUAAUAACCUCAUCGAUUGACGCUACCCGCAGAAGAAGCACCGGCUAACUCCGUGCCAGCAGCCGCGGUAAUACGGAGGGUGCAAGCGUUAAUCGGAAUUACUGGGCGUAAAGCGCACGCAGGCGGUCUGUCAAGUCGGAUGUGAAAUCCCCGGGCUCAACCUGGGAACUGCAUUCGAAACUGGCAGGCUAGAGUCUUGUAGAGGGGGGUAGAAUUCCAGGUGUAGCGGUGAAAUGCGUAGAGAUCUGGAGGAAUACCGGUGGCGAAGGCGGCCCCCUGGACAAAGACUGACGCUCAGGUGCGAAAGCGUGGGGAGCAAACAGGAUUAGAUACCCUUGUAGUC
RNAcentral lists this ribosomal RNA (465 nucleotides) under uncultured Klebsiella sp. RNAcentral's name for it is "bacterial SSU rRNA". It matches the Rfam family "Bacterial small subunit ribosomal RNA", at positions 338 to 795 of the family's 1533-position model. The record is from RNAcentral. Lineage: Bacteria; Pseudomonadati; Pseudomonadota; Gammaproteobacteria; Enterobacterales; Enterobacteriaceae.